RNAcentral lists this ribosomal RNA (1377 nucleotides) under metagenome. RNAcentral's name for it is "bacterial SSU rRNA". It matches the Rfam family "Bacterial small subunit ribosomal RNA". The record is from RNAcentral.
AGAGUUUGAUCCUGGCUCAGGACGAACGCUGGCGGCGCGCCUAACACAUGCAAGUCGAACGAGCGAGAGAGAGCUUGCUCUCUCGAGCGAGUGGCGAACGGGUGAGUAACGCGUGAGGAACCUGCCUCAAAGAGGGGGACAACAGUUGGAAACGACUGCUAAUACCGCAUAAGCCCACGGGUCGGCAUCGACCAGAGGGAAAAGGAGCAAUCCGCUUUGAGAUGGCCUCGCGUCCGAUUAGCUAGUUGGUGAGGUAACGGCCCACCAAGGCGACGAUCGGUAGCCGGACUGAGAGGUUGAACGGCCACAUUGGGACUGAGACACGGCCCAGACUCCUACGGGAGGCAGCAGUGGGGAAUAUUGCACAAUGGGGGAAACCCUGAUGCAGCGACGCCGCGUGGAGGAAGAAGGUCUUCGGAUUGUAAACUCCUGUUGUUGAGGAGGAUAAUGACGGUACUCAACAAGGAAGUGACGGCUAACUACGUGCCAGCAGCCGCGGUAAAACGUAGGUCACAAGCGUUGUCCGGAAUUACUGGGUGUAAAGGGAGCGCAGGCGGGAAGACAAGUUGGAAGUGAAAUCCAUGGGCUUAACCCAUGAACUGCUUUCAAAACUGUUUUUCUUGGGUAGUGCAGAGGUAGGCGGAAUUCCCGGUGUAGCGGUGGAAUGCGUAGAUAUCGGGAGGAACACCAGUGGCGAAGGCGGCCUACUGGGCACCAACUGACGCUGAGGCUCGAAAGUGUGGGUAGCAAACAGGAUUAGAUACCCUGGUAGUCCACACCGUAAACGAUGAUUACUAGGUGUUGGAGGAUUGACCCCUUCAGUGCCGCAGUUAACACAAUAAGUAAUCCACCUGGGGAGUACGACCGCAAGGUUGAAACUCAAAGGAAUUGACGGGGGCCCGCACAGGCAGUGGAGUAUGUGGUUUAAUUCGACGCAACGCGAAGGACCUUACCAAGUCUUGACAUCCUGUGACAGACGUAGAAAUACGUUCUUCCUUCGGGACACAGAGACAGGUGGUGCAUGGUUGUCGUCAGCUCGUGUCGUGAGAUGUUGGGUUAAGUCCCGCAACGAGCGCAACCCUUAUGGUCAGUUACUACGCAAGAGGACUCUGGCCAGACUGCCGUUGACAAAACGGAGGAAGGUGGGGAUGACGUCAAAUCAUCAUGCCCUUUAUGACUUGGGCUACACACGUACUACAAUGGCGUUAAACAAAGAGAAGCAAGACCGCGAGGUGGAGCAAAACUCAGAAACAACGUCCCAGUUCGGACUGCAGGCUGCAACUCGCCUGCACGAAGUCGGAAUUGCUAGUAAUCGUGGAUCAGCAUGCCACGGUGAAUACGUUCCCGGGCCUUGUACACACCGCCCGUCACACCAUG